Molecule: long non-coding RNA, 154 nt
Organism: Rhodamnia argentea
Lineage: Eukaryota; Viridiplantae; Streptophyta; Magnoliopsida; Myrtales; Myrtaceae
Exons: 3
Source: RefSeq, a predicted model, not a curated record
UAAAGCAGAGAUAGCAUUGACCAUCCAUGGACCGUAAAAUUGCCCAGGCAACUGGAUUUUGCUCAUCAGUGGGUUUGUCGUGUCAAUUGCUGUGUGUCCAGCACGAAGUUCUAGUAGGACAACUGUGAAGCUAAACCAUAUCAUCAAACUUUAG